Small nuclear RNA from Artibeus jamaicensis (Jamaican fruit-eating bat), 107 nucleotides. The record is from RefSeq and is a predicted model, not a curated record. Lineage: Eukaryota; Metazoa; Chordata; Mammalia; Chiroptera; Phyllostomidae.
GUGCUUGCUUGGGCAGUACACACACUGAAAUUGGAACAAUACAGAGAAGAUUGGCACGGCUCCCGCACAAGGAUGACGCGCAGAUUUGUGAAGCGUUCCAUAUUUAA